ACUACGGGUGGCUGCAGUGGGGAAUAUUGCACAAUGGGCGCAAGCCUGAUGCAGCCAUGCCGCGUGUGUGAAGAAGGCCUUCGGGUUGUAAAGCACUUUCAGCGGGGAGGAAGGCGUUAAGGUUAAUAACCUUGGCGAUUGACGUUACCCGCAGAGGAAGCACCGGCUAACUCCGUGCCAGCAGCCGCGGUAAUACGGAGGGUGCAAGCGUUAAUCGGAAUUACUGGGCGUAAAGCGCACGCAGGCGGUCUGUCAAGUCGGAUGUGAAAUCCCCGGGCUCAACCUGGGAACUGCAUUCGAAACUGGCAGGCUAGAGUCUUGUAGAGGGGGGUAGAAUUCCAGGUGUAGCGGUGAAAUGCGUAGAGAUCUGGAGGAAUACCGGUGGCGAAGGCGGCCCCCUGGACAAAGACUGACGCUCAGGUGCGAAAGCGUGGGGAGCAAACAGGAUUAGAUACCCUAGUAGUC
RNAcentral lists this ribosomal RNA (465 nucleotides) under uncultured Klebsiella sp. RNAcentral describes it as "bacterial SSU rRNA". It matches the Rfam family "Bacterial small subunit ribosomal RNA", at positions 338 to 795 of the family's 1533-position model. Lineage: Bacteria; Pseudomonadati; Pseudomonadota; Gammaproteobacteria; Enterobacterales; Enterobacteriaceae. The record is from RNAcentral.